AGCACUGUCAAAGGCCCAUGCCCAAAACUCCCUGCUCACAACAAGGCAGGAAUGAGAAGAGAGCAGCUGCAACUGCAGCUACCAGCAAAGGAAAAGCCAACAUGAACACACACAAACCUCAACACACUCCCCGGAUCCAGGAGGAAAACAGCAGAUGCCCCCUGCAGCAGUUGCCAGAUGCCCCCACAACUAGCCCAGGCACUAAGCCGGUGGCAAGGGUGAUGAGAUGUGUCUCCUACCACCCCUGUCCAGUUGCCCCUCUGAUCACAGUGGAUGGGAAGACAAGCAGGCAAUGAGGAGUGUGCACCUCAUUCCUUGCCACAUGUGCCACCACCUUGCCACAUGUGCCACCACCCGCUUCACUCUUGCUGUGGCAGCCCCCAUCGCUCCAUCUCACUGUACAACAGCAUGGUUUGGGAAUUCAGAAGGAGGAACCUGCCCCGCCCCCUCACCCUCCCUGAAGCUGUGGCCUCCAUGGCAGCCCCAUCCCACUGCAUAGUGUGUACAGAAGGUGGAGGUGGUGGCCAGGAACGCUUUUCAACAGCUUCGGCUGAUACGUCAGCUACGUCCAGUUCUAGAAGUAAAUGACCUUAAAACAGUGAGAUCAAUUUGGACAGGGGCCAGAGGAGACAGCAACGGAUGAGUAUAGGCGGCUAACAAGUUCAACGUGGGAGGUACAAGAACAAGAUAACAGGAAUCAAAAAGUCAAGGAACAGCUUGUAUAAAUUUGCCUUAAAACUAAUGUUAUUCAUUUCAUAUGUCUAACUCAAUUAAUUCCGGAGUCUGGAGUUCAUUAAAUUGGAGUCCAGAAGUUAGGUGUCAUCAAUAUGUCUAGCUCUAC
Molecule: long non-coding RNA, 841 nt
Organism: Hemicordylus capensis (graceful crag lizard)
Lineage: Eukaryota; Metazoa; Chordata; Lepidosauria; Squamata; Cordylidae
Exons: 3
Source: RefSeq, a predicted model, not a curated record